AAAUUGAAGAGUUUGAUCAUGGCUCAGAUUGAACGCUGGCGGCAGGCCUAACACAUGCAAGUCGAACGGUAACAGGAAGCAGCUUGCUGCUUCGCUGACGAGUGGCGGACGGGUGAGUAAUGUCUGGGAAACUGCCUGAUGGAGGGGGAUAACUACUGGAAACGGUGGCUAAUACCGCAUAACGUCGCAAGACCAAAGAGGGGGACCUUCGGGCCUCUUGCCAUCAGAUGUGCCCAGAUGGGAUUAGCUAGUUGGUGAGGUAACGGCUCACCAAGGCGACGAUCCCUAGCUGGUCUGAGAGGAUGACCAGCCACACUGGAACUGAGACACGGUCCAGACUCCUACGGGAGGCAGCAGUGGGGAAUAUUGCACAAUGGGCGCAAGCCUGAUGCAGCCAUGCCGCGUGUAUGAAGAAGGCCUUCGGGUUGUAAAGUACUUUCAGCGGGGAGGAAGGUGUUGUGGUUAAUAACCGCAGCAAUUGACGUUACCCGCAGAAGAAGCACCGGCUAACUCCGUGCCAGCAGCCGCGGUAAUACGGAGGGUGCAAGCGUUAAUCGGAAUUACUGGGCGUAAAGCGCACGCAGGCGGUCUGUCAAGUCGGAUGUGAAAUCCCCGGGCUCAACCUGGGAACUGCAUUCGAAACUGGCAGGCUUGAGUCUUGUAGAGGGGGGUAGAAUUCCAGGUGUAGCGGUGAAAUGCGUAGAGAUCUGGAGGAAUACCGGUGGCGAAGGCGGCCCCCUGGACAAAGACUGACGCUCAGGUGCGAAAGCGUGGGGAGCAAACAGGAUUAGAUACCCUGGUAGUCCACGCCGUAAACGAUGUCUACUUGGAGGUUGUGCCCUUGAGGCGUGGCUUCCGGAGCUAACGCGUUAAGUAGACCGCCUGGGGAGUACGGCCGCAAGGUUAAAACUCAAAUGAAUUGACGGGGGCCCGCACAAGCGGUGGAGCAUGUGGUUUAAUUCGAUGCAACGCGAAGAACCUUACCUGGUCUUGACAUCCACAGAACUUUCCAGAGAUGGACUGGUGCCUUCGGGAACUGUGAGACAGGUGCUGCAUGGCUGUCGUCAGCUCGUGUUGUGAAAUGUUGGGUUAAGUCCCGCAACGAGCGCAACCCUUAUCCUUUGUUGCCAGCGGUUAGGCCGGGAACUCAAAGGAGACUGCCAGUGAUAAACUGGAGGAAGGUGGGGAUGACGUCAAGUCAUCAUGGCCCUUACGACCAGGGCUACACACGUGCUACAAUGGCGCAUACAAAGAGAAGCGACCUCGCGAGAGCAAGCGGACCUCAUAAAGUGCGUCGUAGUCCGGAUUGGAGUCUGCAACUCGACUCCAUGAAGUCGGAAUCGCUAGUAAUCGUGGAUCAGAAUGCCACGGUGAAUACGUUCCCGGGCCUUGUACACACCGCCCGUCACACCAUGGGAGUGGGUUGCAAAAGAAGUAGGUAGCUUAACCUUCGGGAGGGCGCUUACCACUUUGUGAUUCAUGACUGGGGUGAAGUCGUAACAAGGUAACCGUAGGGGAACCUGCGGUUGGAUCACCUCCUUA
Molecule: ribosomal RNA, 1542 nt
Filed under: Salmonella enterica subsp. enterica serovar Thompson
Lineage: Bacteria; Pseudomonadati; Pseudomonadota; Gammaproteobacteria; Enterobacterales; Enterobacteriaceae
Also listed under: 6 other names
Description: bacterial SSU rRNA
Rfam family: Bacterial small subunit ribosomal RNA
Source: RNAcentral